CCUACGGGAGGCAGCAGUGGGGGAUAUUGCACAAUGGGGGGAACCCUGAUGCAGCGACGCCGCGGGGGUGAAGAAGCGCCUCGGCGCGUAAAGCCCUGUCAGCAGGGAAGAAAAUGACGGUACCUGAAGAAGAAGCCCCGGCUAACUACGUGCCAGCAGCCGCGGUAAUACGUAGGGGGCAAGCGUUAUCCGGAUUUACUGGGUGUAAAGGGGGCGCAGACGGCGAUGCAAGCCAGGAGUGAAAGCCCGGGCCCCAACCCCGGGACUGCUCUUGGAACUGCGUGGCUGAAGUGCAGGAGGGGCAGGCGGAAUUCCUGGUGUAGCGGUGAAAUGCGUAGAUAUCAGGAGGAACACCGGUGGCGAAGGCGGCCUGCUGGACUGCAACUGACGUUGAGGCCCGAAAGCGUGGGGAGCAAACAGGAUUAGAUACCCUUGUAGUC
RNAcentral lists this ribosomal RNA (440 nucleotides) under uncultured bacterium. Its description in RNAcentral is "partial 16S ribosomal RNA". It matches the Rfam family "Bacterial small subunit ribosomal RNA", at positions 338 to 795 of the family's 1533-position model. The record is from RNAcentral.